This 481-nucleotide ribosomal RNA is filed under the name uncultured bacterium. RNAcentral describes it as "partial 16S ribosomal RNA". It matches the Rfam family "Bacterial small subunit ribosomal RNA", at positions 28 to 507 of the family's 1533-position model. The record is from RNAcentral.
GAUGAACGCUGGCGGCGUGCUUAACACAUGCAAGUCGAACGAAGCACUUUAUUUGAUUUCCUUCGGGACUGAUUAUUUUGUGACUGAGUGGCGGACGGGUGAGUAACGCGUGGGUAACCUGCCUUGUACAGGGGGAUAACAGUUGGAAACGGCUGCUAAUACCGCAUAAGCGCACGGCAUCGCAUGAUGCAGUGUGAAAAACUCCGGUGGUAUAAGAUGGGCCCGCGUUGGAUUAGCUAGUUGGUGAGGUAACGGCCCACCAAGGCGACGAUCCAUAGCCGACCUGAGAGGGUGACCGGCCACAUUGGGACUGAGACACGGCCCAAACUCCUACGGGAGGCAGCAGUGGGGAAUAUUGCACAAUGGGCGAAAGCCUGAUGCAGCGACGCCGCGUGAGCGAAGAAGUAUUUCGGUAUGUAAAGCUCUAUCAGCAGGGAAGAUAAUGACGGUACCUGACUAAGAAGCACCGGCUAAAUACGUG